ACUGACCCCAGAGGCGCUGCAGGAAUGGAUAAUGUGUCACACGUGGCCAUAGGUGGUAGACAGGAGAGAGGCUAUGUCUACUCUCCAUGUUCUGACCUAUGAACAUCUGGAUGAUUAAUAGCUCAACAUU
This is a small nucleolar RNA of Rattus norvegicus (Norway rat), 130 nucleotides long. Ensembl annotates it as small nucleolar RNA SNORA17. The record is from Ensembl. Lineage: Eukaryota; Metazoa; Chordata; Mammalia; Rodentia; Muridae.